GUUUAUUGAGGCAUUCACAAAGAGAACCAAGCUAGAGGAAUUAUUUCACAAAAUCUCUCCUUCUAAUCUUUUCUGGAAUAUCAUUUUAUAAACAUGAUGAUAAAUUCAAAAAUAAUUGUUCCCAUGACCAAAUUCCUUAAUAGAAAACAGUCUAUUUCUGUCAGUGUGGACGUGUUUUUCAUUUGCAAAAUCCUGACAAACUUUUCUUCCUCCCCCUUUUCCUGUAAGAAAUGAGCCAAGGGGGUGGGGGUUGGGGGGAAACAAAGCUGACUGAUCAUUCUUCUCCAAACAUCCCUUUGGAUUAAAAGGCACAAUUUCUCCUGCCAUUUUGACAUUCCCAACAUGUUUGCUUUUCUGUGUUCAGGGCUAGAAAGAGGAGUGAGUAUCUUUCCCAUAAUGCUGAGUACAAAAACCUAGGGAGCAGGUGUCCUAGUGUAACUGCCCAAGGGGUCCUUCCUGCCCACUGCACAAACAAAAUCAAUUCACAGAGACCAUGUCAUUGCAGUAAAGAAAGAGUUUAAUUAACGCGAGGCUGGCCACACCAUGCAGAAGAUGGAGUUAUUAUUCAAAUCAGUUUCAUGGAAGGUUCAGAUGUUAGGAGUUUUUCAGAUAGUUUGCUGGACAGGGAGCUAAGGUAUGGACAGUGCUGACUGUUUGGGUCAGAGAUGAAAUAAUAGGGAGUUGAAGCUGUCCUCUUGGACUGAUCGCUUCUGGGUGGGGCCACAGGAGCAGUUGGCAGGUCCAGGUGGAGCCUUCGGUCAGACAUGCAAAAAACCUGAAACGAUAUCUCAAAAGGCCAGUCGUAGGUUCUACAAUGGUGACGUUAUCUGCAGGAGUAAUUGGGAAAGUUGCAUAUCUUGUGACCUCCAGAAUAAUGGCUGGCAAUCCUUGAUAUCUAUACCUUAAUGAAAUUCAGGCUUUUCUAUCCUCCUAGUCUGGUGGUUUCUCAUUAGCUUUACAAAGGCAGUUGAGUUUUGGGAAAGGACUAUUAUCAUUUAAACUAUAAACUAAAUGUCUCCCAAAUAAGCCCAGGAAUAAUUAAGGGCAGCUUGAAGGCUAAAGGCAAGAUGAGGGUUGGCCAGAUCAGAUCUCCUUCACUGCCAUAAUUUCUUCACUGUUAGGGUUUUUGUAAAGGCAGUUUCACUAGCUACAGUUCAAUGACUAGAUCAUUUCUGACAAUAAUACAUCCUCUCUUUUGCUUAGCAAAUCCUGUAGGGAGAAGCAGAGCUGUAUCACACAAAGGCAUUCUUGACUCACCAGGUACUGAUUAUUAGAGCAAGGCCACUUAAGGGCCUCUUCUAGCCUUCUGGCAGUUGAAAGUCCUAAAACAUACAAAGUUCGCAGCCCUGCCCCUGCAAGACAGACAACAGGCUAGUCUAGGCAGAAGCAAAAAUUGUUGCCACUUAGAGUAACGGGAAGCUGUGCCUUCCAGGUGUCAUUUCUAAGAAUAAGAGUCAGGCAGAAAAGUUAGUACUUUGAAAGGCUUCAGCUGUCUUAAGGAAUGCUGUCUUAGCAUAGCUGAAACCUAUGUUGGAAUAGCUUGAAAUCCUACACCUAAUCACAGUACCUGAAGUCACCAAGACACUCAGGUUCAAUCUCCAUAGAGACAGCGAUCAGGUGCCAAGCAAUGGGAGUUUGUGGCCCAGCCCUAGCCUUUAUGUGUGACCUCUCUGACUCUCCCUGAGUCUCUGUGUCUCCAUCUGCGAGAUGAGAAUUACAAUUGCCAUUCAAACAUUCAAAUUCUCAGCGCUGUGUAGAGGAGCAAAUCAAAUGGGAAGGCGCUUUGUAGGCCAAGCCAUACCCCAGUAUCAUGAUUCCAAGCAGGAGAGAGAAAACCCAAACUGCACUUUUAUUGCCUUAUUUCACUACAGUCAGCAAGAACAGGACAGUCCAAUUAUGUAGACUCAUUUCAGCAGCAUGAACCUGAAUGACCACCCUAUCACCCCAUAUUUAGAAGGUGUCUCCUUACCUAAUUUUUGUGGAUCUGUUUUUGAUCCCUCACUCUUGUUUCCUCAUAAAGGAAACUCUGCACACAAGAUCUCUGUUCACCCCCCUUUAACUCACAGAUCUGUAAUGGUGAAACAGCCUUUCUAUCUGGGGUGCCACCCGAAGUUCUUUGUCUCAUGGCCAAGGAAAUCAAGGAUGCAGACACUCCAAGGGUGAGGAUAGAGCAGGACUUUAAUAAGCAAAAGAAAGAGAGAAAGCCCUCUGCCAUAGAGAGGGGUCCCCAAAAAAAAUGUUGCCACUUCACAGUUGAAUACAGAGGCUUUUAUUAGAAACUGAUGAGGGUUGGGUGUCUCAUUUGCAUGAGGUGCAAAUUUAUGGUAGCUCCACCCCAUCCUCCUAGUACACAUGUGGGCCCUUUGCUUGAGUUAUUCCAUAUUGCUUUAUUCCCCUUACUGCACAUGUGUCAGGGGAUGGAAUUUUCCAUUGCAGGGAUGUCUAGGCAAGUCUCCUGUGUAGCUUUUCUUAUCUAUGUGGCUGUGGGCAUACCUUAGGCAAGCACCUCUGUGCCAGUUCCCUUAUCUGUGUCUGCAAGCUGUUCUUUAUUUGAAAGAACUCAACUGAGGACCUACCCUAACUGCCUGCCUGACCAGUUUCUUCCUUCCUCCUCUUUCAGUGGUCUGCUUUUUGUUAAAUAAAUCAUGUUAAUUUCCACAGAAUUUAAGACACAUACACACAUACACAGACCAACCCCCCCCCACACACUUAAGCAGAUUUUAACAUGCAUUUUAAACUGAGGGAAUAUUUUCUUUCUUGAAGUUUUUGGGGACAUUGUAUUAAAAAAAUUAUAAACUGGUUACAUUUGCACUGAAAUUUUAGACAUCUCUAUGUUUUUCAUGUUCCCUCUCUCCCUGGAAAUGAAGAAUCUGCUAAUAUAGUUUCAGCAAGGAUGACAUCCACUUCAUUUGUGUACUGCACUCCUCAGAAGUGAUGGGCUUGUUUAAAAGUUAAUCAGGAAAAUCCUUUUCUAGAAAAGUGUACCAUGCCCUAAAAGAUCACUUUUGCAAAUGUGGAUUUUUUUCUGAGGGAAGAAUCUCUUGCCCCUCCACCCUUCUAUUAUGAAAAAUUUUAAACAUACAGUAAACUUAAAUAUUUUUAGUAAACAUCCAUGUACCUAUCACCCAGAUUUUGCCACCAAUUUUUUGCUAUACUUGUUUUAUCACGUCUGUAGAUCCAUCCAACCCUGUAUUGUCCACUACUCCAUCUUAUUUUCCUAAUGCACAAAUGUGGAUUUUGGCUUACAGAAUUUGCUUAAAAUGAUAUCCACUGUUGGGGCUACUACAAAGCUUUCACUCUUUUCCUGUUUACUUGAAAAGAACAACCUAUGUUCACCUAGAGACUUCAUUUGCCCUGGUGAGCUUGCGCUGCCUCAGUCAAAGGAUGAAGCAUGGCUCUGCUGAUGGACUGUUAGCCAUGGCUCAGUGAACUCAAGGCCACACUGACUCAAUCUUGUGCUGUGUCUGUGGCUCAGGCUAAAUGUAAGGUGUUCUGGGGUCCUUGUGGCUUAGAUCAUCAUGAGUGACUGGGAACCAUUAUGUGCACAGUGUCCUUUCCUCUCCUUCUACUCUGUUUUCCCUUAAGUCAAAUUAAUAUUCAGUCCCAUUGGCCAGGUGUGGUGGCUCGUACUUGUAAUCCCAGCACUUUGAGAAGCUGGGAUGGGAGGAUCACUUGAGCCCAGGAGUUCAAGACCAGCCUGGGCAACAUAGUGAGACCCAGUAUCUACAAAAAUAAAAAUAAAAAUAAAAAAUAGCCAGGCAUGGUGGUGCACACCUUAGUCCUAGCUACACAGGAGGUUGAGGUGGGAGGAUCACUUGAGCUCAGGAGAUCAAGGCUGCAGUGGGCCAUGAUUGUGCCACUGCACUCCAAUCUUGGUGACAAACUGAGAUCAUGUGUCUGAAAAAAAACAUGAAAAACAAUUCAGUCCCACUGUCAUUUCUCUAGAUUAGGCAUUGGCCACCCACAGCUAGCAUACCAAAAUUCAGGUCUUUAUUAUUUUUACUUGCCUACAGGAACAGCUGAGAACAUAUCCUGGGUCUUGUCGUGUCCUUCAUCUUCGAUUUUUGCACUUUGCUCCUGCUUCCUGGUGGCCCUUCUUUGCCUUACCCACAGAAACUCUAUGAUAUCUCCCUCUGACUGUCCACUCCAAGCUGCCCUUCCCCAAAAUAUGCUAAACUUUAAAACUACUCUUACUCUUCAGUCAAAAUGUUUAUUCUUACAUUAUAACAGAUCUCAGAUGGGAGAACAUGACUAAGGAUUAACUAAAGACACUUACACUAAGGUAUAAGUGGGUGAUAGACCUUAUCUUCAAAGAGAUUACAUUGUAUUUAUUUAUAUUUUUUUGAGACAGGGUCUCACUCUGUCACCCAGGCUGGAGUGCAGUGGCGCAAUCUAGGCUCACUGCAACCCCCUACCUCCCAGGCUCAAACAAUCCUCCUGCCCCAACCUCCCAAGUAGCUGGUACUACAGAUACACGUCACCACAACCAGCUAAUUUUUGUAUUUUUUUGUGGAGGCCGGGUCUCACUAUGUUGCCCAGGCUGGUCUCAGACUCCUGAGCUCAAUUGAUUCUCCCACCUUGGCCUCCCAGUGUUGGGAUUACAGGCGUGAGCCACCACACCCAGCCUUAGACAUUGCAUUUUAAAAGAAAAAGGUGCUUAUUAGCUCAAAUGGAUCUUAAAAUGGUAGUAUAUGUGAGAUAUCACGAGGUAGGCCCAUCUGGAUUAGUGAUCUUUGUCUACUUCCAGACCUGUGCUUGCUCUGUUCCCUUUACCCCAAUGUAAGGAAUUUGUUAUGUCUGACUCUUCAGAGAAGUUGGCAACCCCUGCUCUGGAUCUUCAGCACAAAAGGCAUACUCCUUUUAUUUGAGCUUGUUUCCCAUGCCACUGUCUUGAGUAAAUAACAUCUUAAACUAUCAUAGGUAGUUUCUGGAAAGUUUAGGAGUUUUCUAAGCAUGGGACACAUGCACAGAACAUCUGGGUGGUGGGCUUUUAGCAAUGCUUCAAGGGUCCCAGUAUCACUCAGAGCUGGGCACCAUUUGUCAGGGUGGGCAUUUGGAAGCUCCUAAAGUAAAAAAGUCUCUUUUAUUAUUGGCUUAUCUCAAAUGAGUUUUGGGGUCAUAGACUGCCAUAUUGUGCCCAAACUUGCUGCCCAGAUUUCCACAUUUUUAUAGUGUACUCAAUGCUUGUUUUUUUUAAAAAAAUAUUUUUAUAUUAGAAAUUGUUAUUUAGGUUUUGUUGGCAACAUAACCAUAACAUACCCUACAAAACCAAAGUAAUCACAAUAAUUUCUUAUACUUGUUAUAAGUUAUGAUUUCCAAAGUACUUUUAUGUAUGCUAUCUUAUUUCAUACAGCAGUGCUGACACAUACGCAGGGCAGAUAUAUAGAUGCCCACUUUGUAGAUGAGAAAAUGGAGGUUCAGAGAAGUGAGAUGAUUUUCUCAGGGUCUAACAGCUAAUGAGGGUCAGAACUCAAUUUCCCAUUUUCCAACUCCUAGAUUAUAGGACCACACUAAUUGGGUUGAUGAGAAAACCAACUUCUGAGAGGACUGAUUGUAUGAAAUGGAAAGAUCUGUGUUGGUAUAUGAUCCCUAAGAUUGAGCUUUGUAUGGUGGCACUUCCGUUCUUCCUCAAGAACUGAGCUUAGUGAUUAUUCAAACUUGGUAAAAUGCUCUGUAGCUAAGAAUUAUUAUAGAAAGAGAGUGUGUUGAGCUCUGGGGCCAGCAUGUUAUAUAAGAUCUGGGUGGAAUCUUUGUGCUGUCCAUUCCUACAAAAUAAGACUAAUCCUACCCCAGCAGAUGACUCACUACCACACAUCUGAAGACAGCAAGAAUUAAUAGCAGUUCUAGCCACUUGGCCGAAGAAAUCCCCACUUGGGUCACCUUGUGAAUCUUUCAGACCAAUCCCUCCACCCUUCUUAGCUGUCCCAAGGGUUCACAUUCUUUCUGUCUUUGCCUCUAUGAAUAAGUGUCAACUCUGAUCAGCAACAAAAGUUGGAUGCUAAAAGCAAACUGGGGAAAUGCCAAUUUCUAAAGUCUUUGAAGACUGUGUUGCAUCAAGCCUUCCCAAGAACCUCUCACCUGCAUCCAAGCCAAACAUUAUAUACAGGGCCUAGUGCAACACUGUGUUUUCUUUGGUUUUAAAAGAGAACUUUAAAACCAAAUCCAAUCUCUUAUUGAUGACCUUUGAACCAUUAGCCACUGUUGGGUAGUCGAAGUGGAACAAGUACAAGUAUUAUUGCUUAUCUUCAGGCUGGAUCUACUCACCAAAAUCAUUGGUUGAAAAGUAAAAAAAUAAAAAAUACACAAGUCAGAGCAGUUUGUGGUGUCAUGUAGACAAAAAUGUGCAGAAACAGUGUAUACCUGCACACAGAAUUCAGGAAGCUGGUUUGUAUCAAAAGAUGAAGCCUAGUUUUAGAAUGUGUGUAGUCCCUCACAUAGGAUGUUCAAAAGAAAGCUACUCUGGGGAGGGUCAGAGACAAAUGAUAGAUCAAACUAAAGAGGCAGAUUGCUUUUUAAAGAGAUGGAGCCAGGCAUGGUGGCUCAUGCCUGUAAUCCCAGCACUUUGGGAGGCCAAGGCAGGAGGACUGAUUGAGCUCAGGAGUUAGAAACCAGCCUGGGCAACUUAGCAAGACCUUGUCUCUACUACAAGUCAAAAAAAAAAAAAAAAAAAUCAGCUGGGCAUGUUGGCUCACGCCUGCAGUCCCAGCUAAUCAGGAGGCUGAGGUUGGAGGAUCGCUUGAGCCCAGGAUUACAAGGCUACAGUGAGCCUUGAUUGUGCCACUGCACUCCAGCCUGGGCGACAGAGUGAGAUCCUGUCGCAAAAGAAUAAAACAAAAUUUAAAGACAUGGAGUUAUCAAAGCUAAUCAGAAGAAGAGAUUUAAGCAUCAUGCUCAACUCUGAAACCUAACUUCUGUCACUUAGUAUCAGUAUCUGUCUUUGAUACUGAAAAUCCACAUGAUUGGAAACGAUUCUGUCUUGGUGUUGAGUGGCUACCAUCAAGUCAACCAGUGAUCCAAAUCAUUCAGAUACCGUGCAAGAAACUAGUCAUGAGAAGCUUGAUAUUUUUUUUCAUCAAAAAUGUCUCAACCUCAUUUGGACAGAAAUGGAAAAUGACAUUUGAAACUUUAAUCCGUUAAUAUGUAGUCUGGUUCUUUCCGAAGGUUGCAAGGUUUCCAAGUUCUGAAACUCAUAACUAACUAACCAUAUGGAAACAGAAUGUUCUACAAAUCUUGGCUUCCCGAAUAUUGUCAGAGUAUGAGUGACUCUCAUUGACACUGUGCAGGAACAUACAUGGAUGACUGCCUGCAUGUAUGUUCCUGCCAGGGCAAGCCCUUUCCUCUCAUAAGACGAGUCUCCUUACCAGGACAAGACCAUUGAAUGUUAAAUUUCCACCACCAAGCCUUUGCUCUUGCUGCUCCCUUACCCCAUACAAAGUGCCAGCCUUGCUUAUCCUUCAAGAUCCAUCUCUGAUUCCACCUGAUAUGGUUUGAGUCUGUGUCCUUGCCCAAAUCUCAUGUUGAAUUGUAAUCCCCAGUGUUGGAGAAGGGGCCUGGUGGGAGGUGAUUGGAUCAUGGGGGCGAAUUUCCCCCUUGCUGUUCUUGUGAUAGUGAGUUUUCAUGAGAUCUGGCUGUUUAAAGGUAUGUAGCACCUCCCCCUUCGCUCUCUUCCUCCUGCUCCAAAAAUGUAGGGACAUGCCUGCUUCCCUGUUUUCUGGAUGACAGAGCGAGACCCUAUCUCUCUCUCUCUCUCUCUCUCUCUCUCUAUAUAUAUAUAUAUAUAUAUAUACACACAUACAUAUAUAUAUACACAUACAUAUAUAUAUACACAUACAUAUAUAUAUACACAUACAUAUAUAUACACAUACAUAUAUAUAUACACAUACAUAUAUAUAUACACAUACAUAUAUAUAUAUACAUACACACACACAUAUAUAUAUAUUCUAAAUUAUUCCUAUGCUUUUAUGCUGGUCAAAUUCAUUUCUGGUCAAUACAUAAUACACCAUGAUUGUAAGUUUCCUGAGGCCUCCCCAGCCAUGCUUUCUGUACAGCCUGCAGAACCAUGAGUCAAUUAAACCUCUUUUCUUCAAAAAUUACCCAGUCUCACAUAGUUCUUUAUAGCAACGUAAGAAUUGACUAAGACACCACCUUCCCAUGAAACUUUCUGUGACUACUCCCCCAGUUGGGAUCUCUGCAGUUUCUCAUAGCCCAUGGGACUUAUCAUUGAUAUAACACAAGUUGAGACUCUUUGUUUGUCUUGCUGUCCCCACUUACUACUCUGCUCUAGUCCAUUCUCUAAUCAUAUCCUAACUACCACAGCUCAACUCCCAAAUGAGUGCCACAGAGAACAAGAGUGGGCUUGAAAGUCAGACAGAUGUGUCUUCAGUGUGGAGCCCUUCUACUUUUUCUAGGUCUGAGAAUGGUUGAAAUACCCAUUCAGAGCUUCUCUCAGUUUCUUCAUCCACUAGGAACAAUGGUACCCAUAUCACAGGGUUGUUGUGAGAGACAUUUGUAAUGUGACAAUGGCACAAGGCAUGGUACAUACUAAGCAGGUUUAAUAAAUGGUAGAUAUAUCUGUACUUCCCCAUGUCCUGUGCAGGAUACAGAAUGGGUAAUGGGUCAUAAUUUGAGUAAUGAAUAUAUUUUCAAUGCAGCAUCCCUGAUCAUUGGAUUAUAAAAUAAUAAUUCUGGAGUUAUAAGGCUGGGAAAGGUUAUAAGGUAUCAUCUUACUAUGAUGUAUUUAUUAAUAUGGAAAUGUGUUCACAAACUAUCAUUAAACCAAAAAGGUACUUUUUUAAAUAGGAAACUUCGGGUCUGUAUGCAUUUGGCCACAAGUGUGUGCACCUUUGUGCGUAGGUAAAAUAUCUUUGUCUAUACUUAUAUAGUUAGAUUAAGAAGUACACACUAAACAGUGGCUAACCAAAAUGUUAACAAUGGUUAUCUCUGAUUAAUAGGAUUGUAGACCAUUUAUCUGUAUUAAUACAUUAAAUAUUUAUUAUUAUAAAUAAGUACUAUUUAUAAUAUUGUAUAAUUGUUCUUAUCUGUAUUAAUUUUUCUGUAUUAAGUUUUUGUUAUGAACAUGUACUACUUGUGUAAACAAGGCAUAAUAUAUGAUUUUUAAAAUGCCAUAUAUAAAAUUAAAGUAUGAAUAGAGAUAGGGGCUUGGAGGUAGGGAAAAUGUAAAAAUAAAAAAACAACUUUUUAGGAUCAUGGGAUUAGGGGUGCUUUCUCAGCCCCCAAAUUUUCUGUUUUGUUAUCUUUCACUUGUUCUUCUUUCAUGAACUUUGCAAUAGCUUUUAGUUUAUACAAAUCAUUUCCUAGUCCAGAUGCAGUGGCUCAUGCCUGCAAUCCCAGCAUUUUGGGAGGCUGAGGUGGGAGGAUCACUUGAGCCCAGGAGUUCGAGACCAGCCUGUCCAACACGGUGAAACCCCGUCUUUACCAAAAAAUACAAACAUUAGCCAGGCGUGGUGGUGUAUGCGUAUAGUCCCAGCCACUUAGGGGACUGAGGUAGGAGAAUCACCUGAGCCUGGGAGGUCGAGGCUGCAGUGAGCUGUGAUCGUGCCACUACACUCCAGCCUGGGAAACAGAGUGAGACCCUGUCUCAAAAAAAAAAUCAUUUUCUAAAUUAUUCCUAUGCUUUUAUGCUGGCGAAAUUAAUUUCUGGUCAAUACAUAAUCAGGCUGUUAUUGACAAGGCAAUAUUCUAAGAAGGGAAUCUUCUUCAACAUCUAGAAUUAUCAAAAUGUAUAAAAUAGACUGACUAUGUCUUGACCAAUCUGUUAACUGGCUUCUUUCUGGUGGACCCCAGUUAUUUUGACUGUGGUACUCAGUGUCAUGUGGAUCCUGCCUAGAGUUUCCCAAUUGUUCCACAGCUCUGGGAACUGAAAAGCUCUUGUGCUGGUGGCCAGGGAGGGAGAGAAGCCUCUGCAUGUGUGCAUCAGCCUAUUGGAGUUGCCUUUUGUGAGGCUAGAAGCAUGGUGCCUACCAGAGCUGUGAGUAGCCCUGGGAUGCAGACUGUCCUUCCUUCCCAUCUGCUCUGCCAGCAGUUGUCCUGUCCCAGUAAGUACCUUCCCCUCCAUGCCACCCUGUCAUGGUGGCCAGCUCAGGACUGGGAUAUGGAGCUCUUAUUCACAACCCACAUGAACACAACCUGGAUUUGUAGCAGAGGUAGAGGAAUAAACGGGGCCAAGGCCAGGGGACACAGGAUAGAGUUGGAGAAGGUCUGUUCUUUUUUCUAUUGACUUUAGGAACAGGUGACUGUAUGGUUACAGUGGCUGCCUAGAUUUUAAACUCAGUUUGUUUUACAGUUUCAACAACAAGAUUAGAAAAUAUUUAUUGAGUUCUUACUAUUUGCUAGAUACUUAGUGAUAUGGUUUGGCUGUUUCCCCACCCAAAUCUUAUCUUGAAUUGUAAUUCUCAUAAUCCCCACCUGUCAUGGGAGGAACCUGGUGGGAGGUAACUGAAUCAUGGGGGCAGUUACCUCCAUGCUAUUCUCAUGAUAGUGAGUUCUCACGAGAUCUGAUGGUUUUAUAAGGGGCUUUUCCCCCUUUUGCUUGUCACCUCUCUUCCUGCUGCCAUGUGAAGAAGGGUAUGUCUGCUUCCCCCUUUCCACCACGAUUAUAAGUUUCCUGAGGCCUUUCCAGUCACGCUAAACUGUAAGUCCAUUAAAUCUCUUUCCUUUACAAAUUACCCAGUUAGCAGCAUGAGAAUGGACUAAUACACUUAGCUAUACUAAGGAGAUACACUGGUGAACAAAACAGACAAAACUCCCUUCCCUCACUGACUUUACAUUAUACUGUUGUAGAGUUUCUCUCAAACCUGAUGAUGGCUUUCCAAUUCCGAUCGAAACAGAAAAUAAGGUAAUGAACUCUGGAUUAAGAAUCAUCUGAGACACUUACCUGGCAGUGGAAAUACCAUGAUCACGAAGGUGGUUUUUCCAUGGCCAGCCUUAUCCAUUGCACUCAGAUGUGUUGACCCCUGCAAUUUCCCCAAAUGUGAAAAACUUGACUGCAUAAUUUGUGAUAGUAGGACUUUCAUUCACACUUUCCCCAGGGGAAAAAGAAAAAGGAAAUAGACGAGCACAUUUGACAUUUCUCAGUGGCGUGGCAGAUCUCUAGGGCUUUAUCUCCUUGUCUCAUUCAGAGUGUGCCUCUUCCAGGAAAUAGGCAUUUACAUUAUGAACACUUACUUUGAUCUAUUCUGCAUGAUCUUUGAUAUCCUCUGUCAUUUUGGAAAAUAGCCCCAGAAUCCAGACUUUCAGCUUUUGGGACAAGGUAAGCAUAGGGAGUAGACAAAAUUCCUUUCACCAAGAGGUGGAAAAAAGUGUAGUCUGUCUUACUACAAAUAGAUGUAAUGAGGUGGAAGAAAGUGUAGUCUGUCUUACUACAUAUAAAUGUAAUGCUGGGAGUAUAAUUUUCUAAUAACAGUAAAAGAGAAGGUCAUAGAAGAUACACAGCCUGCUAAAGAAGAAUUAUUUUAUAUAAAAUGUAACUAUGUCACAACAUGAUUUGUGUACAAUGUUCUGAUUAUAUUUAUAUCUUUGUUUUUGUUGCUGUUGUUGUUGUUUACUUGUUUUAGAGACAGGGUCUCACUCUGUCGCCCAGGCUGGAGUGCAAUGGUGUAGUCAUGGUUCACUGUAGCCUUGAACUCCUGGGCUCAAGUGACCCUCCCACCCUGGCUUCAUAAGUAGCUAGGAUUACAGGUAUGUGCCACCAUGCACAGAUCAUUUUUAAUUUUUUUUAUAGAGAUGGAGUCUCACUAUGUUGCCCAAGCUGGUAUGGAACUCCUGGCCUCAAGUGAUCCUCCUGCCUCAGUCUCCUAAAUUGCUGGGAUUACAGGCAUGAGCCACUGUGCCCAGUCUGUCUUAAUUUUAAGACUGCUAAAGAGUGAGACUUUUCGGCAAAAUACUUAACUAAGAUGUCCCAUAUUUAGCUUAGAUCUUUCCCAGAUUGGCUUGGAAAAUAUGAGUUUGUCCAUUUGUCAGUUUUCUUUGGUGAAGAAGACUGUGUGUGUCUGUGUGUGUGUGUGUGUGUUGGGGGGGAUAUUCAAGAAUAUAGAGAGUUGUUUUGUUCAAAGAACAUGGCCUGAAGCUUAUGACAAUGCUUUAUCAAACCCCCUGGCACUGGAAUCUAGCCACUGAUUUUUAUUAAACUUUGGAGCUUUUGCAAUUCUCACUGAGCUGAGGUCAGAGCUGGUGAAGCGCUGCCCCACUGCAUGCCCUGAUAACCACAGCCUCUUGGUAUAUCAUCUUAAUGGCCAAUGGAACCUCCUUCUCUUCCUCCCCACCGUGACUGACAUUUUCAGAAAUGCCCCAAAAUGGCACUAAACGAUGUGCAAACACACCAGAUGGAUUGCUAAUCUCUUUUCGAGGCUUUCUUAAUGGUGAAUUCAUAGCCCCUUGGAGCAAACUCAAUUUCUCUCUGUGUACUCUAUUUUCACUUUUACAAUUUUAGAAGAAAUCAUUUUGGCAAACAUAUUUUGUGACUUGGAUGAGAGGUAAUUUAUACAAUUGCUUUAUGUAGUACGACAACAAGCAGCAACUCCAGUCACAGGAGGAUGGACGGCUAUUCAUCAAUCACAACUGAGACACAUAAAUGGGUCUGGAGCCUUUUAUGUGGCUGAAACCAUGAACUUGGGGGCUACUUAAGGCAAAUCUUGUUUCUUUGGGGGGAGGGCAGUGCAGAUAAAAGCAAAAGUCAGCUCUUUGGAUCUUCACCUUUAUAUUAAUCACCAGAUCUUAAGAGAGCCUCAAAUGAGCCCAACAGAGAGGGUACAACUUUAAUGGUACAAAUGACACAGUGCUAAGGGUGGGCACCGCCAGGUCAUCCAUGCCAGGGAUGCACCUGUGGCCCCAAUCCUUGAGGGUGAUUGGGCAACUGAGUGAUACAACAUGAUCAUUUCUCCCAAUGGACCAGUCAGCCCACUGCAUAUUUUUCCUGGGAGUGCCUGUUGUCACCCCCAGUGAAAUUCCCAAAUCUGCCCAGAAGAUGUUGCUUUACACCUCAGGCUCAGCAAAAACUUUAACAUUUUUGAACACACAUACACAGACACACACAAUCACACAGAAAACACAACCUUGGAUGGAGGAGCUCUUAUCUAUGGAGCUGCAUGUGUUUCCUCUAUACCAUUGGUUUAUAACUAUGGCUGCACAUUAAAAUUACCUGGGAAGCUUUUAAAAUUCUCAAAUGUCCAGUCCCGCCACAGACCAAUUGAAUCACAAUUGUUAGGGGUGGGACCCAGGAGCCAAUAUUUUUCUUGAGCUCACCAUGUUAUUCUGAUUUGUGGCCAAGUCUGUGAACCACUGUUUUAAGCAGUUAAGGCCGAUAAAGGAAAUGGGUCUCUAACUUUAGUGCAUACUGGAAUCAACUAGGGAGCUUGUUAAAAUGCAGAUUCAGUAGGUCUGGGCUUGAGGCCUGAGAUUCUAUAUUUUUAACAAGCUCCUUAGGCAAUUUUGAGGAUGGUGGUCCAUGGACCACAUGUUGAGAACCCUGGCUAGAGAAUUCUACUCUGGAACUUGCAUGUUUCUCAAGCCUCUUUUAUUAUUUAAUUUCAAAAUGGCCCUCUCCUCUCAAACAGCUUCCUCUUCUGCCAGUGCAUAUGUGGGAGGGUAUAGUCCCUGGGGGGAUAAUCAGGUCAGUAAAUUCAGACCAUUCACCUUGUAGUAUCCAGAAGAGCCAAGACAAUACAUCAAAGGGAUGCGGAGGCAUGGGGUUGGGUUUGGAGAUGGACAGAGCAACAGGAAAGAGGAAGGGGGCUAGUUUUAGUCUAGUAGGUACUGGAGGCGGAAUUCAGAUUUGCAGUUAGAAAGUCACUCUGGGCGGGGUGCAGUGGCUGAUGCCUGUAAUCCCAACACUGUGGGAGGCCAAGGUGAGAGGAUUGCUUGAGGCUAGGAGUUUGAGACAAGCCUGGGCAAUGUAGUGAGACCCCAUUUCUACAAUUUUUUUUUAAAUUAGGUGGGCAUGGUGGUGUGUGCCUGUAGUCCCAGCUACUUGGGAGGCUGAGGUGGGAAGAUUGCUCGAGGCCAGGAGUUCAAAGCUGCAGUUAGCUAUAAUCACACCACUGCACUCCAGCCUGGGCAACAGAGAGACCCUGUUCCAAAAAAGAAGAAGAAAAGAAAGAAAGAAAAUAAGGAGAAGGAGAGGAAAUAAUCCCUGUCUUGGAUAGUCAGAGUUGGGAAGAUCAGUCCCUGCAGCACACCACCCAAAAGGUAAGAUAUACUCAACCUGGGCCUAGACAAAGACAUCCUACCAAGGGUUCCGGAGGGUGCCUCCAUAGUUACACCUCCUACCUAUACAGCCCCCACCUGUACAGCAUUGUUUCUUGUCCAGCUUUUCUGUUUUUGCUGAACCCCAGGAGAACAUUGUGGGUAUUGCUGCUGCUAAGCAACUAUAAGAUAAAGGGAAAGGGAUGAAGUGGGGAGGGACCAUAGCCAUGAGAAAGAGAUCUUAAGUGUAUCUUGUAAUUGCAUAUGCUCACUAGAUAGUUAUCCAUUCUUCUGUGUAUUUUGCUGCCCAUUCCACAGACUCAACUGAUGUGGAAUUAGAGUGCACAGCCCUUAAUGCCAGGUAACAAGCAAAAUGCUACAUGGAAAGAGUAUGGAUUUUGCAGGUAGACCAGGGCUUCCAUCCCACCUCUGCCACUUAAAAAUGGUGUGGCCUCCCCAUGUCCCCCAUAUGAUAGUAACACCUCUGUUGAGUCUCUCUGUUGGGGGUGGGAGAGCAUGAAAUUAGAAAAGGCUUCAGAGAGGAGGUCGAAGGUGGAGUAAGAUUUCCACGGGCACAGAUAGUAGGGAAGAACUUCCUAGGAGGAGGUAAGGAUAUGCAAAAGACUGGAAAGGAUGGUUGCUGUACUGUUAGAAUUUGUUACUGGAAUCAAUCCAGGUGGCUGCCAUACAGUACUUUGUUGUUGUUUACCAUAUUUGUUUUCAACUUGUAGUUUGCAUUUAGCUUGCUCUGACCAAUCAGGAGACGGGUAUGAGUUACUUUGUUAUUUCUUUGCACUGGAAUUUGCAGAACAUUGGCAACCUAACAAGUGCAAACCCCCAAGUACAAAUCUGGGGCCUUUCUACAACAUCCAGCCCCAUGCUAACUGAUCCCGGUGUUUUCAACACUACAUUGCACCCAACUCUAAUGUUUUCCCAUAUUCCCCACCUGGUAGCAGCAAGAGAGCCCAUUACCUGUUAGAGAGGGAAAGGAUCAGUGAACACAUGAUCACUGAUGAUCGAGAAGGCUGCAUUUGAGCGGGAUCCUGACAGGUGGGCAGAGAUGGAGGGAAAGGACAUUCUAGUAAGAGGCUGAUUACUCUUAAAUAGUGGUCUAUAGCACAGACAUUGGUGCUAGAGGGUCAUGGAUUCAAACGCUAGUAUGGCCAUUUCCUAGUUCUACUCAUGAUCCCCUUCCUCAGUCCUCUCUCACCCCACAUCCAUUCUCCCAGUUGUAUAAACACUCUCCUAACUGCCCAUGCUCAGUUAGAUCUUUGCCUAUCCUGUGUAUCUGAUCUUCAAUGCCUGCACAAUCCCCUUCCUGUAACCCACUUAUGGUACAUGGUCAGAAUAGUCAGGCCACGGCUUACUAGCUGUAAGAUGCUGAGAAAGUUGCUUAACUGCUUAACUUCUAUGAGCUUCAGUUUCUUUAUUUGUAAAAUGGGGAUAUUAAAAGCACUCCCUUAGCCAGGCAUGGUGGCCUGCUCCUGUCAUCCUAGCUACUCACAAGGCUGAGGUGGAAGGAUUGCUUGAGCCCAGGAAGCAGAGGUUGCAGUGUGCUGAGAUCACACCACUGCACUUCAGCCUGGAAAACAGAGACCCUGCCUCAAAACAAACAAACAAACAAAAAGCACUCCCUUACAGGAUUGUUAUAGGAAUUAAAUAAAAUACCUUGUAUAAAAUUCUUAGCAUCGUGCCUGGAACACAGUAAAGUUUUAGCAUAUUAUUUAAUAGCUCCUUAUACUGGAGCUGUUACUAUUACCCACUCCAAGAAUUAUGCUAAGUGUUGGGAAUACAGUGAACAAGAAAGACAAAGUACCACCCUCCACCACAUGGAGCUUACACUCUAAAAGCGGGAGACAGUCAAUAAUAAACAAGCCAGUAAAUGUACAUGAAGUCAAGUGGCGACAAGUUCUAAAGAAAAAUUCAAGCAGGGUUGGUGGAUGGGGACUUUUGGGACAGUGAGACAUUGAGUGAUCAGGGAAGACCUCACAUAGGAAGUGUGUAUUGAGCUGAGACCUGAAAACACAGGAAAGUAAGAGUGAGUCAUGGAGAGAUUUGAAGAAAAGAGCUUUCCCUGUAGAGGGAAGAGCAAGUGCAAAGACCCCAAGGCAGGAGAGUUCUUAAUGUGUUUAGAAUAGCAAGGAUGGUUUAUUUAUUUAGUAAAUGCAGGUGUUUGCUUAAAGGGAUACAUGGUUGUCCAUAUCUGUAUGUUUAUCUGAAAGUCCUACAUACUGAAAGUCAUGGAGAAGAAGGUAAUUGUGAAAUCUGAUGGUCCUUCCUGGAUCCUUGAAUGCUGCUGCUCUCCUGUGCUGUGGACCUUUGGGUCAUGCCUGCCUGUGCUAUACAUGUUUAGCUUAGAGUACCCAGAGAAGGGAAGAAGCCUUCCUUUGAUUAUCAGUAUAAGGCUGAGAAUAAGGUUCCAAAUCCAUAUACUGGAUUUUUAUGGAUCAAUGACUCAUCCUUUUUUCAUUCUUCCACUCAACAAGCAUUUAUGACUUACUUUCUUUAGGUAUAACUAUGCUAAAUUCUGUGAAAGAUACAAAUAAUUCUAGGAUAACAGGCCCAGCCAUCUUGAAGCCUUUUUGGAAACAUUCGGGAUAAAUCAUAAUUUGUAGAACUAUACAAUCUCAGUCUUUAAGAACUAGAAGUGAGAAGACAUACAUAUAUGAACAGCUAAGAAAAUGGUGAUUAGUGUUAAUCGCAGUCCUAGACAGUUGUAUAGAAAUAGCACAAUGUAGUGAAUGUGAGAUGAGUUAUGCAAAUAAGGAAAACUAUAGCAGUUGGUCAGGAGAGGCAUCCUGGAAGUAGAGAGGCUCAGGUUGGGCCUUAAAAUCUAUGCAGGGGCAUAGAGGAAGAAAGAAAGAACAAGAGAGCAAAAUGCCAACCGUUUUGAGAUGACCACUCCUGAGAAAAACAUAUGCUAAAUCAGUCAUGCUAGCUAGCUAGCUCUCUGCCAUUAUGAUUCAUGAUCCAUCAUCUGGAGUUGUCAUAACUUGUAACACAUCUGUUCUCUAAAAUCCUAUGUAUUUAUACAUUCCACAUGACAAGUGAACUCAAAUUCAUAAAAUAAUAGUAUCCCUGAUUUCCUGAGAACUUGGGCCUAAGGUAGCAAUUGGUUUUAGACUUAAUGUGCUUCUAGCUCAUGCAAAUGAUUCCAAAUUGCCAUAUGAAGAUGGAUGCCUUUUCCAACUUGGGUACACUUUGAUAGCAGAGGUGACUAGGGCAUCUUUUUCAAGUUCAGGCAGAAAAAUACCUGCAAAGGCCCAGACACCUAGGCCAAAUAACUUUGGUUGGCCUGAUAAAGUUGUUUCUCUUGUGGGCUUCCAGGCUCAGUGGGUGUGGUGGCUGUAUCCAGUGAGCUCAGCUCUGGCUGUUUUUUCAUGUAGAACAGUGUAAUCUAGUCUCUUGGACUGGGCUGGAUCUUUGCUUUUAAUUACAAUGGCGUACUGAGAAUGGACUGGGUUCUUACUUUUGUUCUUUACUUAGGUUAACUCAAAUCAUUCUUUUAGUUUCCUUCCUUCCUUCCUUCCUUCCUUCCUU
RNAcentral lists this long non-coding RNA (17739 nucleotides) under Homo sapiens (human). Its description in RNAcentral is "HSALNT0286514". The stretch from base 10887 to 11046 matches the Rfam family "U1 spliceosomal RNA". The record is from RNAcentral. Lineage: Eukaryota; Metazoa; Chordata; Mammalia; Primates; Hominidae.